GACGAACGCUGGCGGCGUGCUUAACACAUGCAAGUCGAACGAAGAGCGAUGGAAGCUUGCUUCUAUCAAUCUUAGUGGCGAACGGGUGAGUAACGCGUAAUCAACCUGCCCUUCAGAGGGGGACAACAGUUGGAAACGACUGCUAAUACCGCAUACGAUCCAAUCUCGGCAUCGAGACUGGAUGAAAGGUGGCCUCUAUUUAUAAGCUAUCACUGAAGGAGGGGAUUGCGUCUGAUUAGCUAGUUGGAGGGGUAACGGCCCACCAAGGCGAUGAUCAGUAGCCGGUCUGAGAGGAUGAACGGCCACAUUGGGACUGAGACACGGCCCAGACUCCUACGGGAGGCAGCAGUGGGGAAUCUUCCGCAAUGGACGAAAGUCUGACGGAGCAACGCCACGUGAGUGAUGACGGCCUUCGGGUUGUAAAGCUCUGUUAAUCGGGACGAAUGGUUCUUGUGCAAAUAGUGCGAGGAUUUGACGGUACCG
RNAcentral lists this ribosomal RNA (483 nucleotides) under Veillonella atypica. RNAcentral describes it as "bacterial SSU rRNA". It matches the Rfam family "Bacterial small subunit ribosomal RNA", at positions 28 to 480 of the family's 1533-position model. The record is from RNAcentral. Lineage: Bacteria; Bacillati; Bacillota; Negativicutes; Veillonellales; Veillonellaceae.